Molecule: ribosomal RNA, 229 nt
Filed under: uncultured bacterium
Lineage: Bacteria
Description: partial 16S ribosomal RNA
Rfam family: Bacterial small subunit ribosomal RNA
Source: RNAcentral
UACGCAGGCGGGAUAUUAAGUCAGUGGUGAAAGCCUACAGCUCAACUGUAGAACUGCCAUUGAAACUGAUAUUCUUGAGUAUGGAUGAGGUGGUUGGAAUAUAUCAUGUAGCGGUGAAAUGCUUAGAUAUGAUAUAGAACACCGAUUGCGAAGGCAGAUCACUAAACCAUUACUGACGCUCAUGUACGAAAGCGUGGGGAGCGAACAGGAUUAGAUACCCUGGUAGUCC